GUAGGUGAACCUGCGGAAGGAUCAUUACAGAGUAUCAUGCCCUUCGGGGUAGAUCUCCACCCUUGAAUAACAUACCUUUGUUGCUUUGGCAGGACGCACUCGUGCCAGGGGCUUCGGCUGGAUCGUGCCUGCCAGAGGAUUCCAAACUCUGAAUGUCAAUGUCGUCUGAGUACUAUUUAAUAGUUAAAACUUUCAACAACGGAUCUCUUGGUUCUG
RNAcentral lists this unclassified non-coding RNA (216 nucleotides) under rhizosphere metagenome. RNAcentral describes it as "partial ribosomal RNA internal transcribed spacer region". The record is from RNAcentral.